RNAcentral lists this unclassified non-coding RNA (352 nucleotides) under soil metagenome. RNAcentral describes it as "partial contains 5.8S ribosomal RNA, internal transcribed spacer 2, and large subunit ribosomal RNA". The stretch from base 1 to 120 matches the Rfam family "5.8S ribosomal RNA", at positions 35 to 154 of the family's 154-position model. The record is from RNAcentral.
GAUGAAGAACGUAGCGAAAUGCGAUAAGUAAUGUGAAUUGCAGAAUUCAGUGAAUCAUCGAAUCUUUGAACGCACAUUGCGCCCGCCAGUAUUCUGGCGGGCAUGCCUGUUCGAGCGUCAUUUCAACCCUCAGGCCCCCAGUGCCCGGUGUUGGGGAUCGGCCCAGCCUUCCUGUAAGGCCGCCGGCCCCGAAAUCUAGUGGCGGUCUCGCUGUAGUCCUCCUCUGCGUAGUAGCACAACCUCGCAGUUGGAACGCGGCGGUGGCCAUGCCGUUAAACACCCCACUUCUGAAAGUUGACCUCGGAUCAGGUAGGAAUACCCGCUGAACUUAAGCAUAUCAAUAAGCGGAGGA